AACGCGAAGAACCUUACCUGGACUUGACAUGCACUUGACCGCUCCAGAGAUGGAGUUUUUUCGCAAGAAACAGGUGCACAGGUGCUGCAUGGCUGUCGUCAGCUCGUGCCGUGAGGUGUUGGGUUAAGUCCCGCAACGAGCGCAACCCUUGUCGUUAGUUGCCAACACGUGAUGGUGGGCACUCUAGCGAGACUGCCUGGGUUAACCAGGAGGAAGGUGAGGAUGACGUCAAGUCCGCAUGGCCUUUAUGUCCAGGGCUACACACGUGCUACAAUGGUCGGUACAGAAGGCAGCAAUACCGUGAGGUGGAGCAAAUCCUAAAAGCCGGCCCCAGUUCAGAUUGGAGUCUGCAACUCGACUCCAUGAAGAUGGAAUUGCUAGUAAUGGCGGGUCAGCAACACCGCCGUGAAUACGUUCCCGGGCCUUGUACACACCGCGAGC
Molecule: ribosomal RNA, 441 nt
Filed under: uncultured bacterium
Lineage: Bacteria
Description: bacterial SSU rRNA
Rfam family: Bacterial small subunit ribosomal RNA
Source: RNAcentral